UUUGAGUUUUGCCUGGCUCAGGACGAACGCUGGCGGCGUGCCUAAUACAUGCAAGUCGAGCGCGGGAAGCAAGCUGAUCCUCUUCGGAGGUGACGCUUGUGGAACGAAGCGGCGGACGGGGUGAGUUAAACACGUGGGCAACCUGCCUGUUAAGACUGGGAUAACCCCGGGGAAACCGGGGCUAAUACCGGAUAAUACUUUUCAUCACCUGAUGGAAAGUUGAAAGGUGGCUUCUUGCUACCACUUACAGAUGGGCCCGCGGCGCAUUAGCUAGUUGGUGAGGUAACGGCUCACCAAGGCAACGAUGCGUAGCCGACCUGAGAGGGUGAUCGGCCACACUGGGACUGAGACACGGCCCAGACUCCUACGGGAGGCAGCAGUAGGGAAUCUUCCGCAAUGGACGAAAGUCUGACGGAGCAACGCCGCGUGAGUUGAUGAAGGUUUUCGGAUCGUAAAGCUUCUGUUGUUAGGGAAGAACCAAGUGCCGUUCGAAUAGGGCGGCACCUUGACCGGUACCUAACCAGAAAGCCCCGGCUAACUACGUGCCAGCAGCCGCGGUAAUACGUAGGGGGCAAGCGUUGUCCGGAAUUAUUGGGCGUAAAGCGCGCGCAGGCGGUCCUUUAAGUCUGAUGUGAAAGCCCACGGCUUAACCGUGGAGGGUCAUUGGAAACUGGAGGACUUGAGUACAGAAGAGGAGAGUGGAAUUCCACGUGUAGCGGUGAAAUGCGUAGAGAUGUGGAGGAACACCAGUGGCGAAGGCGACUCUCUGGUCUGUAACUGACGCUGAGGCGCGAAAGCGUGGGGAGCGAACAGGAUUAGAUACCCUGGUAGUCCACGCCGUAAACGAUGAGUGCUAAGGGUGUUAGGGGGUUUUCCGCCCCCUUUAGUGCUGAAGUUAAACGCAUUAAGCACUCCCCCUGGGGAGUACGGCCCGCAAGGCUGAAAACUCAAAAGAAUUGACGGGGGCCCGCACAAGCGGUGGAGCAUGUGGUUUAAUUCGACGCAACGCGAAGAACCUUACCAGGUCUUGACAUCCUCUGCAAUCGGUAGAGAUACCGAGUUCCCUUCGGGGACAGAGUGACAGGUGGUGCAUGGUUGUCGUCAGCUAGUGUCGUGAGGAUGGUUGGGUUAAGUCCCGCAACGAGCGCAACCCUUGAUCUUAGUUGCCAGCAUUUAGUUGGGCACUCUAAGGUGACUGCCGGUGACAAACCGGAGGAAGGUGGGGAUGACGUCAAAUCAUCAUGCCCCUUAUGACCUGGGCUACACACGUGCUACAAUGGAUGGAACAAAGGGAAGCAAAACCGCGAGGUCAAGCAAAUCCCAUAAAACCAUUCUCAGUUCGGAUUGCAGGCUGCAACUCGCCUGCAUGAAGCCGGAAUCGCUAGUAAUCGCGGAUCAGCAUGCCGCGGUGAAUACGUUCCCGGGCCUUGUACACACCGCCCGUCACACCACGAGAGUUGGUAACACCCGAAGUCGGUGAGGUAACCUUUUGGAGCCAGCCGCCGAAGGUGGGACCAAUGAUUGGGUGAAGUAAUAAUUCGUUGAGACCG
Molecule: ribosomal RNA, 1550 nt
Filed under: Virgibacillus sp. TKNR13-3
Lineage: Bacteria; Bacillati; Bacillota; Bacilli; Caryophanales; Bacillaceae
Description: bacterial SSU rRNA
Rfam family: Bacterial small subunit ribosomal RNA
Source: RNAcentral